GACGAACGCUGGCGGCGUGCUUAACACAUGCAAGUCGAACGAUGAAGCCGGAGCUUGCUCUGGUGAAUUAGUGGCGAACGGGUGAGUAACACGUGAGUAACCUGCCCUUGACUCUGGGAUAACUGCGGGAAACUGUAGCUAAUACCGGAUACGACCCUCGGAGGCAUCUCCUGGGGGUGGAAAGAAUUUCGGUCAAGGAUGGACUCGCGGCCUAUCAGCUAGUUGGUGAGGUAACGGCUCACCAAGGCGACGACGGGUAGCCGGCCUGAGAGGGUGACCGGCCACACUGGGACUGAGACACGGCCCAGACUCCUACGGGAGGCAGCAGUGGGGAAUAUUGCACAAUGGGCGCAAGCCUGAUGCAGCAACGCCGCGUGAGGGAUGACGGCCUUCGGGUUGUAAACCUCUUCUAGCAGGGAAGAAGCGAAAGUGACGGUACCUGCAGAAAAAGCACCGGCUAACUACGUGCCAGCAGCCGCCGCGG
RNAcentral lists this ribosomal RNA (484 nucleotides) under uncultured bacterium. RNAcentral describes it as "partial 16S ribosomal RNA". It matches the Rfam family "Bacterial small subunit ribosomal RNA", at positions 28 to 523 of the family's 1533-position model. The record is from RNAcentral.